GAAAUGCGAUAAGUAAUGUGAAUUGCAGAAUUCAGUGAAUCGUCGAGUCUUUGAACGCACAUUGCGCCCCCUGGUAUUCCGGGGGGCAUGCCUGUCCGAGCGUCAUUGCUGCCCUCAAGCACGGCUUGUGUGUUGGGCCCCCGUCCCCCUCUCCCGGGGGACGGGCCCGAAAGGCAGCGGCGGCACCGCGUCCGGUCCUCGGGCGUAUGGGGCUUUGUCACCUGCUCUGUAGGCCCGGCCGGCGCCAGCCGACACCCAACUUUAUUUUUCUAAGGUUGACCUCGGAUCAGGUAGGGAUACCCGCUGAACUUAA
This 313-nucleotide unclassified non-coding RNA is filed under the name uncultured Trichocomaceae. RNAcentral describes it as "sequence contains ITS1". The stretch from base 1 to 105 matches the Rfam family "5.8S ribosomal RNA", at positions 50 to 154 of the family's 154-position model. Lineage: Eukaryota; Fungi; Ascomycota; Eurotiomycetes; Eurotiales; Trichocomaceae. The record is from RNAcentral.